UUUUAGACUAAAAUAGGACUUCAUAUUUAUAUAAAAUGUUUUUCUCCAGUUCUUCAACAAUUACUGCUCAUCCUCUUAUUAAUUUUGACCAAAGGACGUUUAUCAUUUUUUAUGAUCAAUAUACUUGGCAUUGGAUUUAAGGAUCUGCUUAUCAAAUACUGUUAAGGAAGUUUAAAAUUGAAGCAUUAGGGACCCAGGUGUUGUCAAAAGUUGGCGUUGGUUUCUCCUUGUGGUCUUGGACGUGUCUCCUUCCGUCUCCUGCUCAUGGUCGUGGCUCGGUCUGUGGAGUUUGUUCUGGUGAGAUUGAUUGUGCUGCACAUUCCUCUGUGAUACUAACUCCUCUGGAUCUGACAGGGUCUUUGUGUACUUUUCUGCAUUGUCAUUUCCAUAAAUGCCACAGCUAACACAUCAUCUGCUCCCCAGCUUAUUAUCUCCCCAUGUACUUUACAAAUUCAAUUAGGCGCUUCCUUCCAUCUUGUUACAUUUCCUCAACAGCUGAAAUAAUUUUUGGAGCUGUAGUAAUUUACUGCACAACAUUAACAUUUUCUGUCGUGAGCCGUCAAGUCUUCGUCUCUCUGACAAACUUACUGAAGUCAUAGAUAAUUCAUUUGAUUCUAAAUUACAGCUUUCCAUCGCGCCGCGCGCCCCUCUUGCAGGGGUUUGUUGUGACAAGCGGGCGCGCCGCUCGUCUCCAACCGUGAUUUCUGUCGGCCCCGAUGACAAAGAUAUCAUGCAGCGCGUCUUCAAACAUGACGCUGACAUGUAGCACUUAUCCACUCACUCAGAGAGAACCCGACAGCAGUGCUCCUCGUGACACCGCCCUCAUUUCCCAUGAUGCACAUGGACGGGGUUCGCCUCUGCAUGAAGAUUAGUAAUAAUAAGAGUUCUUGAAAAUUUUGGGAUGUACUUGAUUUUUUUCAAGAAGAAAAUGGGGUGGGGAGCUGGAAGGGGACAAAAGCUGCCAAAGUGCCAUUGUGUCUCAAUAAAAUACGACAUUUCCUCUAUUGUGUGUGAAUGAGUCACUUAUAAAGGCAGAAACGUUGGAUAAAAGGGAGACGUUUAUUUAAUUCUAAUUUCAGAAUUUGCAUCUGAAACAACUAAUCGGCUUCAUUUGAUGUGUUUGUCUAGUUAGGCGACUGGAAAGUGAUGGCGUAGGUUAGGAAAGAGGAGGAUCAAGAGGAGCCGGAGGGAAAGAAGCGGAAAAACCAGCACCAGUACGAAGACAAACGCUGAUUGAAAAAAGUGUUUCUGUUUGGUUCAUCUUUGCUCCUCGUCUUCAAACAUUCAAACACAGAUUGUGGAUCUGCCGUUUUUGUAGAAACUGACUUUCGACAGCUAAAAAUAUUCCUUUUCGUGUAUUCAGAGGGAACUUAGGUCUGUAUUUGUCGAUGCAGGUGAGAGAGUGAGGAUUGUAUGAUGUGUAAAAAGCAGGAAAAUGAGAUAAAGACCCUCAGGUUGUGAGUCUGUGGUCCGAAGUCAGUUCCCUCAGCGUGGGUCAGAGACUGUCGCAGGUUUUCUGUUUAACAGUAAGUUAUUAAUGUCUUGUUCCCAUCUCUGAGUGGAUCGAUAAAUCUUUACAGCCGGCGACCUCGACCAAGACUUGAACACUCCUGAAGGCCUUUUUUGAAGAUUGAUUUACUCAUUUCACUCUGAAAGUCAGGUAAGAAUUUGAUGUGAGAAGUUCGCUUGUAUUUUGAUCGUUUUCCUUUUCUGUAUUUUUAUUCGAGACUCUUCAAGCGUCCUUCAGGUCCGUGACUACUGCGCGGCUGCACUGAUGUGAUUGGGGUCAUGUUUGAUUUGCUCAUUCAGAGAAACUUCUUAAAACACAUUGAUUGAUUACGCCUCCAGGAGAAUUUUUCAUAUCCUUUCACGACUGGUUCGGAUUGAUUGGGGCGGAUGUCAGAGUUUGUUUUUCUUACAGUCGGGUACAUUUGGGGAUUGUUGGAGGAAACAGUUUUUUGAUUGAAAUGAAAUAACCUGGAUCGAGGAUGGUUCUUCCCCCACGCGUAUGACACCGAUUUUCUGCGGCAUCCAUCCCGGGGUCAUGAGCAGUUAAAGGCGUCAGGAUUUUCUGAAUGCAAACUCAAUCUUGACACGGACAAAGUUUUCAACAAACAUAUAGAAAUUCCUUUUAAUUGUGGAGAAAGUCUUAAACACAACUUGUAUCUGGAAAAACAGGUACUUUAAAAUGAAGUUAAAGAUCAAUUAUGGAUUAUCGAUAUGAAGUCUCAAAACUUAGUAAGCACAUGUGAACUUUGUACACUCUACCUUUUGACUUUAGUGCAUUAAUUUGAUCGAGUGUACU
Xyrichtys novacula (pearly razorfish) is the source of this 2305-nucleotide non-coding RNA. NCBI's taxonomy places the organism in Eukaryota, Metazoa, Chordata, Actinopteri, Labriformes, Labridae. The record is from the annotation of a GenBank genome assembly.